GAGUUUGAUCCUGGCUCAGAACGAACGUUGGCGGCGUGCUUAACACAUGCAAGUCGAACGAGAACGGUUCCUUCGGGAGCUUAGUAAAGUGGCGCACGGGUGAGUAACACGUAGAUAACCUGUCCAGGUGUUCGGGAUAGCCCUUCGAAAGGGGGGAUUAAUACCGGAUACGUUAGUCUGUUAUAAGGCAGAUUAAGAAAGGUGGCCUCUAUUUAUAAGCUAUCGCAUUUGGAGGGGUCUGCGUACCAUUAGUUUGUUGGUGGGGUAAAGGCCUACCAAGACUUCGAUGGUUAGCGGGUCGUGAGAGGAUGAUCCGUCACACUGGCACUGAAACACGGGCCAGACUCCUACGGGAGGCAGCAGUGAGGAAUAUUGUCGCAAUGGGGGAAACCCGUGACGCAGCGACGCCGCGUGGGUGAGGAAGGC
RNAcentral lists this ribosomal RNA (426 nucleotides) under uncultured microorganism. RNAcentral describes it as "bacterial SSU rRNA". It matches the Rfam family "Bacterial small subunit ribosomal RNA", at positions 9 to 415 of the family's 1533-position model. The record is from RNAcentral.